GACAGAGGCCACAAGCGUUAGGCGGAAUCACUGGGCUUAAAGCGUGUGUAGGCGGACCGUUAAGUGCUUUGUGAAAUCCCACGGCUCAACCGUGGAACGGCUUGGCAUACUGGCGGUCUUGAGCCACCCAGGGGCAGCUGGUACAAGCGGUGGAGCGGUGAAAUGCGUAGAUAUCGCUUGGAACGCCCGCGGUGAAGACGGGCUGCUGGGGGUGAGCUGACGCUGAGACACGAAAGCCAGGGGAGCAAACGGG
RNAcentral lists this ribosomal RNA (253 nucleotides) under uncultured bacterium. RNAcentral's name for it is "partial 16S ribosomal RNA". It matches the Rfam family "Bacterial small subunit ribosomal RNA", at positions 524 to 776 of the family's 1533-position model. The record is from RNAcentral.